RNAcentral lists this ribosomal RNA (433 nucleotides) under uncultured bacterium. RNAcentral's name for it is "partial 16S ribosomal RNA". It matches the Rfam family "Bacterial small subunit ribosomal RNA", at positions 29 to 507 of the family's 1533-position model. The record is from RNAcentral.
AGCGAACGCUGGCGGCAGGCCUAACACAUGCAAGUCGAACGAACUCUUCGGAGUUAGUGGCGGACGGGUGAGUAACACGUGGGAACGUGCCUUUUGGUUCGGAAUAACUCAGGGAAACUUGUGCUAAUACCGAAUGUGCCCUUCGGGGGAAAGAUUUAUCGCCAUUAGAGCGGCCCGCGUCUGAUUAGCUAGUUGGUGAGGUAACGGCUCACCAAGGCGACGAUCAGUAGCUGGUCUGAGAGGAUGACCAGCCACACUGGGACUGAGACACGGCCCAGACGCCUACGGGAGGCAGCAGUGGGGAAUCUUGCGCAAUGGGCGAAAGCCUGACGCAGCCAUGCCGCGUGAAUGAUGAAGGGCUUAGGAUUGUAAAAUUCUUUCACCGGGGACGAUAAUGACGGUACCCGGAGAAGAAGCCCCGGCUAACUUCGUG